GCCGGUGUGGCGGAACUGGCAGACGCACAGGACUUAAAAUCCUGCGGGUGGCAACACCUGUACGGGUUCGAUUCCCGUUGCCGGCA
RNAcentral lists this transfer RNA (86 nucleotides) under Lachnospiraceae bacterium. RNAcentral's name for it is "tRNA-Leu". It matches the Rfam family "tRNA". From Rfam's summary of the family: Transfer RNA (tRNA) molecules are approximately 80 nucleotides in length. Lineage: Bacteria; Bacillati; Bacillota; Clostridia; Lachnospirales; Lachnospiraceae. The record is from RNAcentral.